GACGAACGCUGGCGGCGCGCCUAACACAUGCAAGUCGAACGAGCGAGAGAGAGCUUGCUUUCUCGAGCGAGUGGCGAACGGGUGAGUAACGCGUGAGGAACCUGCCUCAAAGAGGGGGACAACAGUUGGAAACGACUGCUAAUACCGCAUAAGCCCACGGGUCGGCAUCGACCAGAGGGAAAAGGAGCAAUCCGCUUUGAGAUGGCCUCGCGUCCGAUUAGCUAGUUGGUGAGGUAACGGCCCACCAAGGCGACGAUCGGUAGCCGGACUGAGAGGUUGAACGGCCACAUUGGGACUGAGACACGGCCCAGACUCCUACGGGAGGCAGCAGUGGGGAAUAUUGCACAAUGGGGGAAACCCUGAUGCAGCGACGCCGCGUGGAGGAAGAAGGUCUUCGGAUUGUAAACUCCUGUUGUUGGGGAAGAUAAUGACGGUACCCAACAAGGAAGUGACGGCUAACUACGUGCCAGCAGCCGCGGUAAAACGUAGGUCACAAGCGUUGUCCGGAAUUACUGGGUGUAAAGGGAGCGCAGGCGGGAAGACAAGUUGGAAGUGAAAUCUAUGGGCUCAACCCAUAAACUGCUUUCAAAACUGUUUUUCUUGAGUAGUGCAGAGGUAGGCGGAAUUCCCGGUGUAGCGGUGGAAUGCGUAGAUAUCGGGAGGAACACCAGUGGCGAAGGCGGCCUACUGGGCACCAACUGACGCUGAGGCUCGAAAGUGUGGGUAGCAAACAGGAUUAGAUACCCUGGUAGUCCACACCGUAAACGAUGAUUACUAGGUGUUGGAGGAGUGACCCCCUCAGUGCCGCAGUUAACACAAUAAGUAAUCCACCUGGGGAGUACGACCGCAAGGUUGAAACUCAAAGGAAUUGACGGGGGCCCGCACAAGCAGUGGAGUAUGUGGUUUAAUUUGACGCAACGCGAAGAACCUUACCAAGUCUUGACAUCCCUUGACAGGCAUAGAAAUAUGUUUUCUCUUCGGAGCAAGGAGACAGGUGGUGCAUGGUUGUCGUCAGCUCGUGUCGUGAGAUGUUGGGUUAAGUCCCGCAACGAGCGCAACCCUUAUGGUCAGUUACUACGCAAGAGGACUCUGGCCAGACUGCCGUUGACAAAACGGAGGAAGGUGGGGAGGACGUCAAAUCAUCAUGCCCUCUAUGACUUGGGGUACACACGUACUACAAUGGCGUUAAACAAAGAGAAGCGAGACCGCGAGGUGGAGCAAAACUCAGAAACAACGUCCCAGUUCGGAGUGCAGGCUGCAACUCGCCUGCACGAAGUCGGAAUUGCUAGUAAUCGUGGAUCAGCAUGCCACGGUGAAUACGUUCCCGGGCCUUGCACU
Molecule: ribosomal RNA, 1338 nt
Filed under: uncultured bacterium
Lineage: Bacteria
Description: bacterial SSU rRNA
Rfam family: Bacterial small subunit ribosomal RNA
Source: RNAcentral